Molecule: ribosomal RNA, 432 nt
Filed under: uncultured bacterium
Lineage: Bacteria
Description: bacterial SSU rRNA
Rfam family: Bacterial small subunit ribosomal RNA
Source: RNAcentral
GGCCGCGGGAAUUCGAUUAGGCCUAACACAUGCAAGUCGAGCGAACCCUUCGGGGUGAGCGGCGGACGGGUGAGUAACGCGUGGGUAACCUGCCCUGUACACACGGAUAACAUACCGAAAGGUAUGCUAAUACGAGAUAAUAUAUUUUAAUCGCAUGGUUAAGAUAUCAAAGCUCCGGCGGUACAGGAUGGACCCGCGUCUGAUUAGCUAGUUGGUGAGGUAAUGGCUCACCAAGGCGACGAUCAGUAGCCGACCUGAGAGGGUGAUCGGCCACACUGGAACUGAGACACGGUCCAGACUCCUACGGGAGGCAGCAGUGGGGAAUAUUGCACGAUGGGCGAAAGCCUGAUGCAGCAACGCCGCGUGAUAAAUGGAGGCCUUCGGGUCGUAAAGCUCUGUCCUCAAGGAAGAUAAUGACGUACUGAGAGAGCC